Molecule: ribosomal RNA, 560 nt
Filed under: uncultured bacterium
Lineage: Bacteria
Description: bacterial SSU rRNA
Rfam family: Bacterial small subunit ribosomal RNA
Source: RNAcentral
UGGUAAUUGGGGGGGACCUGAUGCAGCCAUGCCGCGUGUGUGAGAAGGCCUUCGGGUUGUAAAGCACUUUCAGUUGUGAGGAAAAGUUAGUAGUUAAUACCUGCUAGCCGUGACGUUAACAACAGAAGAAGCACCGGCUAACUCCGUGCCAGCAGCCGCGGUAAUACGGAGGGUGCGAGCGUUAAUCGGAAUUACUGGGCGUAAAGCGCACGCAGGCGGUUUGUUAAGCUAGAUGUGAAAGCCCCGGGCUCAACCUGGGAUGGUCAUUUAGAACUGGCAGACUAGAGUCUUGGAGAGGGGAGUGGAAUUCCAGGUGUAGCGGUGAAAUGCGUAGAUAUCUGGAGGAACAUCAGUGGCGAAGGCGACUCCCUGGCCAAAGACUGACGCUCAUGUGCGAAAGUGUGGGUAGCGAACAGGAUUAGAUACCCUGGUAGUCCACACCGUAAACGCUGUCUACUAGCUGUGUGUGUCUUUAAGACGUGCGUAGCGAAGCUAACGCGCUAAGUAGACCGCCUGGGGAGUACGGCCGCAAGGUUAAAACUCAAAGAAAUUUGACGGGA